CAACUUGAAGUGAUGGGCUUAAUGCUGGGAAAGGUGGAUGGUGAAACCAUGAUCAUUAUGGACAGUUUUGCUUUGCCUGUAGAGGGCACUGAAACCCGAGUAAGUGCUCAGGCUGCUGCAUAUGAGUACAUGGCUGCGUAUAUAGAAAAUGCCAAACAGGUUGGUGGCCUUGAAAAUGCAAUUGGCUGGUAUCACAGCCAUCCUGGCUAUGGCUGCUGGCUUUCUGGGGUUGAUGUUAGUGCUCAGAUGCUCAAGCAGCAGUUCCAGGCACCAUUCAUAGCCGUAGUAAUUGACCCAACAAGAACAAUAUCUGCAGAAAAAGUGAAUCUUGAAGCCUUUAGGACAUACCCAAAGGGCUACAAACCCCCUGAUAAAGAACCUUCUGAGUACCAGACUAUCCCACUUAAUAAAAUAGAAGACUUUGGUGUACAUUGCAAACCAUAUUAUGCCUUAGAAGUCUCAUAUUUCAAAUCCUCAUUGGAUCGCAAAUUGCUUGAGCUUUUGUGGAAUAAAUACUGGGUGAAUAUGCUGAGUUCCUCUAGUUUGCUUACUAAUGCAGACUAUACCACUGGUCAGGUCUUUGAUUUGUCUGAAAAAUUAGAACAGUCAGAAGCCCAGCUGGGACGAGGGAGUUUCAUGUUGGGUUUAGAAACACAUGACAGAAAGUCGGAAGACAAACUUGCCAAAGCUACAAGAAACAGCUAUAAAACUACCAUAGAAGCUAUCCAUGGAUUGAUGUCUCAGGUUACUAAGGAUAACUGUUUAAUCAAAUUAACAUCUCUUAAACAAUCACUAAGUAGUAUUUUUGACUGAAAGCCAGUAUGAGAAAAAUACUCAAGUAACACUUUAAAACCAGUUACCAAAUAUCUGAUUAGAAGUAUAAGGUGCUCUGAAGUGUCCUGAAUAUUAACAUCGUGUAAUAAAACUCUUUAAAAUG
Molecule: non-coding RNA, 937 nt
Organism: Callorhinus ursinus (northern fur seal)
Lineage: Eukaryota; Metazoa; Chordata; Mammalia; Carnivora; Otariidae
Source: RefSeq, a predicted model, not a curated record